GCUAUCGCUCUCUAUCAAGAAAAAAAAUACCUUAUCCUUAUCCCUUUCCCCGUCUCACCACGGAGGUGGAGAAGAAGCACGGGAGCACGCCGGCGCGACGCCUGGGAGGUCGAUGUGGAGGCGGCGGAUCGGACGAGCCCGACGAGAGGUCCGCCGGGGAACUGGAGCUGCAGCGCCGCCGGCUUUUCCUCCCAAUUUCUUGGAGCGGAGCUGGAGCGAUGUCGCCGCCGGCGUCGUCGAGCCGUCGAGGCACCUACUCCUCUUGUGCACCGUGAUUUGCCUUCUCAUCCAUGUUGGCCGCGAGGGUUUCUGCCCCGCCGCCGGGAAGCCGUGCGCGGAGUCUGCACAUUAAGGUGUUGGGGACGCCAAAGACAGAGAAGAAGGGCAAUGGAGAAGCCGAUUUGUCGUUGGUUAGAGAUAUACUUUUGAUGAGAUGAUGAAGAUGGAGAAGGAAGGCAACCGAAACGGGCGAAGAGAGGUGGAUAGAAAGUAAUUCUAAAAAAUACAGUAUUAGUCGCAUCACACGGUAGAGGGAGUUGCUCGGUCCAUACCCGUAGUUGCUCAAAAAACCUGAUGCAUCGUUUUUUAUACUUGUGUAUAUAAUGCAUCUAUAUGUAUAUGUGUGUGUUACUGCCACCUAUAUAUGUUGUCCUCUACUUGUUAUUUUGUGGUUCUUUUAUUAUUUUACAUAAGGGUUGCCUGAUAUUAUUGCAA
Triticum dicoccoides is the source of this 714-nucleotide long non-coding RNA. RefSeq lists it as uncharacterized. The transcript has 2 exons. The record is from RefSeq and is a predicted model, not a curated record. Lineage: Eukaryota; Viridiplantae; Streptophyta; Magnoliopsida; Poales; Poaceae.